RNAcentral lists this ribosomal RNA (506 nucleotides) under uncultured bacterium. RNAcentral describes it as "partial 16S ribosomal RNA". It matches the Rfam family "Bacterial small subunit ribosomal RNA", at positions 899 to 1397 of the family's 1533-position model. The record is from RNAcentral.
ACUCAAAUGAAUAGACGGGGGCUCACACAAGCGGUGGAGCAUGUGGCUCAAUUCGAAGCAACGCGCAGAACCUUACCUGGGUUUGACAUGCACGGAUUAACUCCUGGAAACAGGAGCCACGCUCGCAAGAGUGGAACGUGCACAGGUGCUGCAUGGCUGUCGUCAGCUCGUGCUGUGAAGCGUCGGGUUAAGUCCCUUAACGAGCGCAACCCUUGUCGUUAGUUACUAACGCGUUAUGGCGAGGACUCUAACGAGACUGCCGGUGUCAAACCGGAGGAAGGCGGGGAUGACGUCAAGUCCUCAUGGCCCUUACAUCCAGGGUUGCACACGUGCUACAAUGGUGCAUACAAAGCGACGCGAGGCCGCGAGGCGGAGCAAAUCGCAAAAAAUGCACCCCAGUUCGGAUUGCAGGCUGCAACCCGCCUGCAUGAAGCCGGAAUCGCUAGUAAUCGGAGAUCAGCUACGCUCCGGUGAAUGUGUUCCUGAGCCUUGUACACACCGCCCGU